Molecule: non-coding RNA, 1047 nt
Organism: Ictidomys tridecemlineatus (thirteen-lined ground squirrel)
Lineage: Eukaryota; Metazoa; Chordata; Mammalia; Rodentia; Sciuridae
Source: RefSeq, a predicted model, not a curated record
GCCGCACGCAUGCCAGGCGAGCACGCUACCGCUUGAGCAACAUCCCCAGCCCCUGUAGUUUCUUAUCUAGGAUUUUUUCCUUAAAAAGCACAGAAAAGUACUGAGGUCCUUUUUAGAAAUUGCUUAUGACUUAAUAGUUACAGAAAAAUUGAAAGCAACCUAAAUGUAUAUUGGGGGUUUUGGUUAAAUUAUGAUACGGGGAAAUACCACACAGCCAUACAAAGAUAUUGAGAUUGAUGUUUGUACAUGAUAAUGAAGCACAGAGAUAUACAACAUGAAGAGUUUGGCCCUAUUUGUACAGAAAAAAGGUUGUCUCUGUAUGUGUAUGUAUGAGUUUUAUGGACAGGAUUUCCAGGAAGAUACGCAAGAAAAUCAGUAAGCAGUAAUUACUUCUCAUCCGUGGCAGGCUCUACUAUUAUACUUUAUUUAUAAUAAAGUUGGGGAUUGGACCCAGGAGUUUGCUCUGCUGUUUUAUUUUUUUUGUGGCCUACUUAAAUUUAUUUACAAUAAAUAUAAUAUAUUUUAUAAUUAAAAAUGCCUUUUUAGGGAUCGGAGAUGUGGCUUUUUGGAGGGGAGCUUGCCCAGUGUGCUUGAGAGCCUGGGUUCAACUCCAGCACUGAAAUAACUAAACAGGAUCGAACCCAAUGCCUCACCUGUGCUAAGCAAGCACUCCAGCACUGAGCCCCAGCGCUGAGCCCCAAUGCUGAGCCCCAGCCAUGCCCAUUAUUUUUAAAGACAGCUUUCCAUUGUAUGUGCAUUUGUACUAUUGUGUUUUGAACCAAUGUUUUUUUCUUAUACGUGUAUCUCUAUCCUUGCCUUGAAUGUAAAUAUUGACUCUUGGUCUUGGUAUUCUUUUUUUUUUUUUUUUUAACACUAGGAAAGAAACAUCUUUAUUUACAUGUACUUGAUAAUAGUGAUGGGAUUCUCAAUAUCAAAGGAAAACUUGACAAACUUAUAAAUUUUAUCUAAUCUGUGAUUAUGAUGGUAUAUUUGCCAUAUCUUCUCCUAAAGAAUAAAGAUAAUAUUUGUACAAGUUGUUUGAAAACA